Molecule: long non-coding RNA, 1083 nt
Filed under: Anas platyrhynchos platyrhynchos (common mallard)
Lineage: Eukaryota; Metazoa; Chordata; Aves; Anseriformes; Anatidae
Description: lncRNA (ENSAPLG00000016795.1)
Source: RNAcentral
AGGAGUCACUUAUGAAUUCCUAAGUCUAACAGAUUUACCAGUGCUCAGCAUCGUUGUACACACAGGCUCCUCAUCCACAGGUUUAACAUUUUAAAAAAUACCAAAUUUUACAUCAUUAUUUCAUUUCAAACAUUACUAGAAAUGUCAGAGAAGGGUUCAGCUCACACCAAUAUCUUACAGGUGUAAUUGCCUUGUCUGUAAUGCGUUUAUAUUAGUUAUAAUGAAAUUACCUUUGACUUGCAUCAGUGUAAAUGGGAACAGAGUGAAGGCCAGAGUUUCCAUCUAAGUCUGUAGGAGCAAUUGUACUUUUAUAAAGCAAGCAUAAUUCAGUUGGCAUACAUCAGUCAGUUUAAUAAAAUAUAUUUCCUCUUCUUGCAGAGUUUGUCACCCGGACAUCAGCUGCAUUACACUGAAAUUGGUCCACGGUCAAAGAAUUAGGCCCCAGACCCCCACUCCUUGCAAGAGAUUUAAUUCUGUUUUUAAUUCUGAAGCUUUAGCAGUCUUUACAAAUCUGUGUGAGUAAGAACUGGAAAAAAAAAAAAAAAGUGUGCUGAAGCAACAGGAUUUGGCUCUACAGUUAGUCAUUUGUCUGAAUGACCUUGUUAUUCCUAUUUACCAUUAUGUAAGUCUGAGCUAAAGGUGUUUCGGGUUAUUUUAUUUAUUUUUUUAUAUGACAACAAUCUGUAUCUCUUCCCAGCACGUAGCUGCCAUCAAUCCCUUCUGUCUCGGCUUGUGAGUAAGAAGUAAGCAACCCAUGGGGCAGGAGAAGUCAUCGCCUGGCUUAAUGCUGGGAAUCAAGGCGGAGAUAUGAUUCAAAUGCCUCCUUAUUGUUUUUUGCCUCCUGACAUUUCCCAAUUUGCACUGUGUACUGCUGCUGCGGGAAAAAAUAGUAACUAAGAUUAAGCUAAGUGGAAAAGUACUGCUGCUUUUCCAGCGUCAAAGCCACGGAUCCUGUGGCAAUGCAGUCCCUGGAAGAAAUCAGAGCAGAAGUGUGAGGUAUUUCUCUUCAUAUGCAGAGAGUUCCUAAAGCCUACCCAUGAGCUCCUCGUUUUGACCCAGCUCUGUAAGUUCACCGUGUCUGUC